AAUUUUAGAAAAAAAAUAUAGGUUCCAAGUGGGACAUCGGACGAAUGCCCAAUAAUCAUAUUAUUAGACCAAACGGGCCAAAAGCAAAAUUUGAGCUAGAGUUCCCCCGAGGGAGAGACCUAGACGACGGCGGAGAAGGAAGAGGGAAAAGAUCGGGAAUCGCAAGACUACAGAGAGAAGAAAUUGAUCGGGGUGGAGGAACUUUGCAGAAGGUGAGUUUCCUUUUGUCGAUUAUUCCCAUUUUACAGUGAAUUCAGUCUGUUUUUAUUUUUUUAUUUAUUUUUUGCGUGUUGGGUUUGGCCUUUUACGCCGGCCGUGUUUUCUCCCUUAGCAUGACCGAAACCGUGCGGUUAUGGCGAUAUCCCGAAAACUCGCUGAAAUUCCCCUUUACGUUGCGUCAUUUGUCCUAUCGUGUCAAGGAUUCGGAUCGGUGCAGGCCGAAACCUUGACGUUACGCCGAGUUUUCGGUGCAACGGUCCUUAGUCGAGCCACGUGUCAUAUCAUCAUGUGCACAUGAAAAUCUCAACUUCAUAUAUCAGUUUACACAUAAAAGGGGAGUGCUAGAGUGUAUAAAUACAUAUCGAAUACCUUGUGAAAGUGCUGCUAAUUGAUUUUCAGUAAUUGAACUUGAUGUAUUGAUAUACUAGAUUGACUCAUUUAUAAUUCCAACACCAACUGCUGAAAUAUAUAAUAAUAGAUUAUGUAAUAUUUGAUUUAACAAUAUUGAAUAUUGCUGAUGUAAAAUUUGUUAGCAAUUUUUGGAUUUUUGUCCCAAUUUGUUUUCUUUCUGUAUUUCAGAAAAAAAAUUUGGUUUGGUUAAAAGGCAACUGGACUGUUAACCGAAAAAUCAAGCAGAGAAACAUAAGCCAUGGACGAAUUUGAAUUUCGACGAAUUCUUGAACUCUUUCCCAUAGUCAGAUCUCGCGAUUAUCAGGUAAAUCUCUCCAAUGUUCCUUCUCUAUAUGUAUAUAUAUGCACAUAUAUUAUAAAAUUUUAUGUUUUGCAUAUAGUAUCCAUCUCCAUCUCUCUUUUUUUCUUUCCAAAUGACUGCUUUUUGUGCUUUUAUUUGUCUUAACUGUCCUUUAUAAUUCAAUGUUCCUCAUUUCAAGGCUCUAAAUAUGAAGAAAAUUUAUGCAAUUCCUUUUUCUUUCGUCAUAUGUUUGUUGCUUUUUAGUGAGUUUCACUUUUUCUUAUUGAAAUAUUGACUAUAGGAUGGAGACGAUAUAGAAUUAAGCAGAUAAUAGUGUUGGGUUUUUUUUGAUUUAGUUCUGAUAAUAAAACCAAAUCAUACCUAUGGUUGGAUAUGGGAUGACUGUUGAAAGAAGAGGCUUUAUGGAGUUUUUAUUUGCUAUCUUAGUCUCAAAAUGGGAGUGCUAAUUUCUUAAAACUAUGCAAAAUUUAAGAAAUAUUUCAAUUUUCCAUAUUUAUUUACUAACUUAUUUUAUGAUCAAUCUGAUUGGAAGCUAGGUUUAACCACUUUCACUUAUUGACAAAUUUUGGAUAUCAUUUUAAGCUAUUAUUUGAAAGGGCGUUCUCAUUCUUGAUGGAGAAUUAUUUUAUACGAGAGAAAUGAGAAAAAGAAACAUAAAAUUAGUGAAAACAAAUACUAGAUGUGAAAAGAUCUUUUGAGGGUGUUGGGGCGUAGUUAUUUGGGCCCGAAUUAUAUGGUGGGCCAAAGUUCACGUGGAGGUGUUUAACCCUACGUAGGAAUCUGUUUGGGCAGUGGAAUAUUUUAAGGAAUCAAAGAUUCACAAUUGCAUUUAAUUUUCAACUCUUAAGGAAAGUGUCGAGAUAUAAUCCGACUUCCUUUCUUUAAGGAGAUUUUGUUCAAUCCCAUUAAGGAAUCAUACCUAAUGAGGAGUCCUAAUUCUAUACGGGAAAGAAGGUGUGAUCGCUAUAAAUACAAGGCUAUACCCUAAUCAUCAGAUACACGACUUUAUUUACAGCACUAGAGCAUUAAGUCUUCAUUGUUAAACGUUAUUCAGCUUGUACUUGUCCUCACACCCUCACACCCUCACACUGGAGCUAUCCCCCGACGGCACGCUUCGUUUCUGUGCAGGAUUGGAUGCACUCUUGGUGAUUGAGGCGCGUGAACGAAUCUUGGCGUUAACAUUUGUGCUAGAAGGAGGGCUUUCUGGUGAUACGUAAUUUUCAAUCACAAGGAGUCUUGGUUGGAAUCAUGGUGAAUAGCAGGAAGACGGUUUCAACACGUGACCAGUCAACGACGGACCCCCCUCCUCAUCAACCAAGGGGUUCAGCCAAAGACAGGUUGGGACCCUCAGUUUCUGAACGGUUGGGUCCCAUGCCAAUUGUGUGGCCCGAUCGAAGGACAGGGCAGGUAGUCCCAGACGAUGGUUGUUUGCUACAGCCAGUAAGGAAGCAAGAUCCAAAGACCGUGUCACGGACGCUCCGUCCCGAACACGCCCCAGGAUGACGGCUGAGAUGAGAGGAGGAUGAUCUUGGCCAAAAAAGCACAUGAGACGGAUGAUGCUAUGAAGGCUCUGCUCCUUCAGUGAAGGGAGAUCGACCAACAGAUGGUACUUUUGAUAGGUGGAGAAGACGGUGCUUCCAGCCAUAACCGAAGGCGGGAGAGGUCGCCGGGGAAUCAGUCCAGGACACAUCGUCCGGAUGAUUCUCAGCGGACCGAGAGCUGACUCCGAAGUAGUUCUUGGGAAAGGAGCAGGUAUGAGAGCAAAAAACGGAUAAAAUCGAAUUACCGAACACAACCGAAUUUGUUUAAUCGAAUUAUUUCGAUUUUUCGAUUUUUUUUCUAAUUUCGGUUAUAUUCGAUUUAUUGUUCGGUAUUCGGUUUUAAAAAAUAGCUUAUUCGGGUAUCCGAAUUAUUGAAAUUAUUAAUUAAAUUUUUGUUUAUAAUUAUAUAUGUAAAUGACUAUUCCAUUUCGUCUCAUCCAUAUUUCUAAUUACCAAACCAAAUUUCAGAAAGAAACAAACAUCACUUUCCUGUCAAGGGGUCAGAAAGAAACAAACAUCCCAGAUCCAUUCCAUUUCCUCUGGCCUCUUGUCUCGACUCUUGACUCUCGGCUUCAAUUUUUUCGUCUAUUCCUCUCCGCCUCUCUCAGUCUUAAUAUUGCUUCAUCCUCAAUGAGCUAUCUCCAUAUUCGCCUCUUACAACCACGCAACGAUAACAUCUUCAUCCCCUCAACGGCUCAACCUCUCUCUCUCAUCUCACAUCUAAGGUACUGCAUCUCAAACCCUAAUUCUUCUUUUUAUUAAAUAAUUUUAAUUCCAGUUGUACGUGUAUAUGUAUUGAUUUCUGUUCGAUGAGCUCAAAUCUAUUGAUUUGAUUUCAGUUUUAGAGGUUUAUUGACGCAAUCGGUUACAGAUCUAAUGGGUUUUAUUCCUUUUUAUUUAUAAUAUUUGCUUUUUAUUGGAUAUGUAUUCUUUUUUUGAUUGAUAAAUGAUAACAUGGAACACAUGUUUAUUAACCAAAAUACUCGAAUUUACAAUUCGAUAAUUCGGUAAUUCGAUUAUUGCUAAAUUCGGUUAAUAGUUCGGAUAGUGAAAUUAUGAAUAUUUCGGUAUUCGGUUAUAACCUAAUAGCCUAUUUGGUUUGGUUAUAACUUGAUGAUCAGGAGCAGGUGCCAAAGUCAUUCGCGGGAGCAUUCGCCAGGGAACCUCUGUCCAGGACGCAUCGUGUGGCGACCCCAAAUCCGGGUACUUGCAACCCGAACUCGGUUCUCCACGAUACCAUUUCUUUAAGCUGAAUAAUACUAAAUAAUAAUACAUUCGAACUUAAUUUACAUACAUCAAAGUUUACUUCCCCAGGUACGUGACCUUCAAAUACAUUCCUUACAAUACCUGACAAUAGAUUCCAUUGUCUUACUAACUAUAACCAUUAAC
Molecule: long non-coding RNA, 3861 nt
Filed under: Panax ginseng (ginseng)
Lineage: Eukaryota; Viridiplantae; Streptophyta; Magnoliopsida; Apiales; Araliaceae
Description: long non-coding RNA (PGIN_LNC010598)
Source: RNAcentral